CCUUAUGGUUGUAAAGCACUUUAAGCGAGGAGGAGGCUACUUUAGUUAAUACCUAGAGAUAGUGGACGUUACUCGCAGAAUAAGCACCGGCUAACUCUGUGCCAGCAGCCGCGGUAAUACAGAGGGUGCGAGCGUUAAUCGGAUUUACUGGGCGUAAAGCGUGCGUAGGCGGCUUAUUAAGUCGGAUGUGAAAUCCCCGAGCUUAACUUGGGAAUUGCAUUCGAUACUGGUGAGCUAGAGUAUGGGAGAGGAUGGUAGAAUUCCAGGUGUAGCGGUGAAAUGCGUAGAGAUCUGGAGGAAUACCGAUGGCGAAGGCAGCCAUCUGGCCUAAUACUGACGCUGAGGUACGAAAGCAUGGGGAGCAAACAGGAUUAGAUACCCUGGUAGUCCAUGCCGUAAACGAUGUCUACUAGCCGUUGGGGCCUUUGAGGCUUUAGUGGC
This 441-nucleotide ribosomal RNA is filed under the name Acinetobacter baumannii. Its description in RNAcentral is "bacterial SSU rRNA". It matches the Rfam family "Bacterial small subunit ribosomal RNA", at positions 415 to 847 of the family's 1533-position model. Lineage: Bacteria; Pseudomonadati; Pseudomonadota; Gammaproteobacteria; Moraxellales; Moraxellaceae. The record is from RNAcentral.